This 202-nucleotide long non-coding RNA is filed under the name Elaeis guineensis (African oil palm). RNAcentral's name for it is "long non-coding RNA (EGUI_LNC050659)". The record is from RNAcentral. Lineage: Eukaryota; Viridiplantae; Streptophyta; Magnoliopsida; Arecales; Arecaceae.
GCCCGAGGAUGGCUCGAUCAAUCCAACCAUCAUCAAAUAGUUCAACAGAGUCAUCAUAUGAUAAAUGAUAAUUCCAUUAUUCAAAGGGAACACCAGACAGAUGGCGCCUGCAAUGUCAAUCAUAAAUAAUGGAUUUAUUACUAUCACCUUAAUGGGAGGUUAUGAUCUAGUUAUCACCAUAACCAACUUACUUUAGAGACCU